RNAcentral lists this transfer RNA (72 nucleotides) under Camelus bactrianus (Bactrian camel). It matches the Rfam family "tRNA". From Rfam's summary of the family: Transfer RNA (tRNA) molecules are approximately 80 nucleotides in length. Their secondary structure includes four short double-helical elements and three loops (D, anti-codon, and T loops). Further hydrogen bonds mediate the characteristic L-shaped molecular structure. tRNAs have two regions of fundamental functional importance: the anti-codon, which is responsible for specific mRNA codon recognition, and the 3' end, to which the tRNAs corresponding amino acid is attached (by aminoacyl-tRNA synthetases). tRNAs cope with the degeneracy of the genetic code in two manners: having more than one tRNA (with a specific anti-codon) for a particular amino acid; and 'wobble' base-pairing, i.e. permitting non-standard base-pairing at the 3rd anti-codon position. Lineage: Eukaryota; Metazoa; Chordata; Mammalia; Artiodactyla; Camelidae. The record is from Rfam by way of RNAcentral. RNAcentral also lists the same sequence under 2 other names.
GAGGGUAUAGCUCAGUGGUAGAGAGUGUGCUUAGCAAGAACGAGGUCCUGGGUUCAAUCCUCAGUACCUCCA